UGUUGCUUUCUGACUCAAACCAAAAAAAACAAUCCUGCAAAGCAGUAAGAAUUGAAUUUUCUUGUAGGUGCUUGAGGGGUUUAUUUUUGCUCUUAGUCUGGCACAAAAUCACAUCCCAAUGUAUCAUAAAGCGCUGAAGAUAUCCCUCAUAGCCUACAUAAAUGGAAGUAAUGUUUAAUUUUGUCAUUUUUAAGUAAUGAUGCAGGACAUGAUACUGCACAUGGAGUUUACAAGGCUCCCACCACUAGCAUUUGGACUCCACCUUCAACUUAUAAAUCACAUUGCUAAGUAUAGUGCUUGUUUGCCUCUGUGAAAUAUUUCCUCCUCGGCUCUUCUUAUCAACAUCCAGUAAUGAUCUAUACAUAUGUCAUGCAAGACAGUAAAUAUGCAUUAGUUCCAGGGAAAAGUUAGUGCCAUAUCUCUUCUGAUUAAUGUGCAAAUGUUUGAAACUGGUGUGAAAGCUGGAAUGGUGAUAACCUGCAGCACGGUCCGGAAGGAGGAAGGCAGGAGAUAAACCUGCUCCUACGGGAAGUGCCACAGCAAAAAUCUUAGAUGCCAGCCAGCCUGCAUUUGAAGGACUCCAGAUGCUUGUGUUCCUUAGUCCUGCUCAUUCCCAGGUGUGCUUCGUUCAGUCUGAGAGGCAGGAAAUUACAUUUUCAUCUUUAUUCUGCCGCCAGCUGCAAGCUAAAUCCAUGCUUGAAGGCUGUAGCAACGAAUCUAUUAAGUACUGGUAUCUCCUGCCACAUCAAUCAUUUUAACUCUGUGCCUCUGUUUUCUGCAACUGAGCCAUAUGGAUGAGAAGCAUUGCCUAGAUGAUGCAGCUGGGACAGCCGGCAGCUAUGGAUGCUACAAGACAGCAAACAGACUGCUUAGAAAACAUGUCGACUUUCACCACUGGAGGCCACUGAGAAGAGGCUAGAGAAACAGAACUCCAGGGCUGCUUUAAAGAGGAGAGAGAAAUGUGUCUCACGUGUGAGGAUCUGUUUGCAAAUUUACAGCUAACAGAUGACACCAAUUACACAGAAGGGCUGCAAUAUGUUAUUUCCAGCUAUACAGAAAUGUCUAUUUCUGAGUUCAUUGUCUUUGUAAACUCCCCGAGAAGCAAAAGAUGAGAGAUCCUAAAACAAACAAACAA
Pogoniulus pusillus (Red-fronted tinkerbird) is the source of this 1135-nucleotide long non-coding RNA. RefSeq lists it as uncharacterized. NCBI's taxonomy places the organism in Eukaryota, Metazoa, Chordata, Aves, Piciformes, Lybiidae. The record is from RefSeq and is a predicted model, not a curated record. The transcript has 3 exons.